This 433-nucleotide ribosomal RNA is filed under the name uncultured bacterium. Its description in RNAcentral is "partial 16S ribosomal RNA". It matches the Rfam family "Bacterial small subunit ribosomal RNA", at positions 29 to 507 of the family's 1533-position model. The record is from RNAcentral.
AACGAACGCUGGCGGCAUGCCUAACACAUGCAAGUCGAACGAGACCUUCGGGUCUAGUGGCGCACGGGUGCGUAACGCGUGGGAACCUGCCCUUAGGGUCGGAAUAACUCCCCGAAAGGGGUGCUAAUACCGGAUAAUGUCUUCGGACCAAAGAUUUAUCGCCUUUGGAUGUGCCCGCGUUGGAUUAGCUAGUUGGUAGGGUAAAAGCCUACCAAGGCGACGAUCCAUAGCUGGUCUGAGAGGAUGAUCAGCCACACUGGGACUGAGACACGGCCCAGACUCCUACGGGAGGCAGCAGUGGGGAAUGUUGGAAAAUGGGCGAAAGCCUGAUGCAGCAAUGCCGCGUGAGUGAUGAAGGCCUUAGGGUUGUAAAGCUCUUUUACCCGGGAUGAUAAUGACAGUACCGGGAGAAUAAGCUCCGGCUAACUACGUG